Molecule: non-coding RNA, 204 nt
Organism: Paramuricea clavata
Lineage: Eukaryota; Metazoa; Cnidaria; Anthozoa; Malacalcyonacea; Plexauridae
Source: the annotation of a GenBank genome assembly
AAUUGCAACGCCCAGAACAGAACAGGAAGUUAGGAACUUGUAACAGGAAGUUAAGAACUUCUAACAGGAACUGAGGAAAAUUUAAUUGCCUUUUAGCAACAUUGCAAAUUUCCUCAAGGGAUUUGCAAGGGAGUUUUUUAAAUUGCAAAAGUAAUGAGGAAAAUUGUAAUCAAUUUAGAAACUCAAAAGAGGAACGCUUCACGU